GCCAGAUGUCGGGCUAGCGCCUGCGCAGUGGCGUUGUUUAUGGAGAUGGUGUGCCGGAGGCCGGCGCCAUCUUUUAGGCGUCCGGCUGCCUACACAUUUACAGCACUGGAAUGCAGCUGAUAUCUCUGAAAGCAGAAAGACUGAAGGCUCCUGGGCAGAACAACUGCAGAUGCUAAAAACAGAGCCUUGGAGAAAGAAGGUGGCUAAUGACCCCAGGAAAUCUGUCCCAUCAUCUGGGUCCCUCGAUGAAGCAUCCAAACUCAGCACAGAGAAAAUAAAUGUACAAUGGGGAGAGAAAUCAUUCUCUGUACCACCAUCACCAUGAAGGUUACCAUCAGCACACACUCAAGGAAGAAAACAAGCCUGAAUCCAAAGAAGAUGCAGCUUAAGAUCACUGAACUAUGAAGACAAAUAUCUGAAUGUUUAAACACAUAAAGAAUUUCCCCUUUCAAUCCACAUAGCCUCAUGCUGUCAAGAACUUCGCAGGACUCCUUAUUAAGAGCUGACAGGCUUUGCUUGCAAGCAGGCUUCCCCCAUCUCUAGCAAUACAGAAGGUAUUGGUACAUUCCUAUUUUUCUCCAAACAUAGGAGGAGGAUUGCAACCUACUGACUUCGAACCACCAUGAAAAUGACAGAUUGCUACUUUGUGAUAAUUGUCAUAAGAUUCCAUGCCUGAAACUGAGAUGUUUUCUUCUUCUUUUCCCACUUCUUCUAUUUCAAGUGACCCUAUUAAUGAUAGAUCUCUACUUGAAAUAAUUGGCUAUUCUAAAACUGAGAAAUAAGCACUUUCCUGUCCUCAUUGUUUUUCCUUCUUUAUCUCUAACAGCCCCAGAGGAUCACAAACAUUUGUCCUCAGGGCAAUAUCAGCGGUUAAUGAUUCAUGUUCAAAGUCUGUGAGU
Molecule: long non-coding RNA, 899 nt
Filed under: Mus spicilegus (steppe mouse)
Lineage: Eukaryota; Metazoa; Chordata; Mammalia; Rodentia; Muridae
Description: lncRNA (ENSMSIG00000031386.1)
Source: RNAcentral